This 89-nucleotide ribosomal RNA is filed under the name Clostridia bacterium. RNAcentral's name for it is "partial 16S ribosomal RNA". It matches the Rfam family "Bacterial small subunit ribosomal RNA", at positions 1 to 89 of the family's 1533-position model. Lineage: Bacteria; Bacillati; Bacillota; Clostridia. The record is from RNAcentral.
UUUAAUUUAAGAGUUUGAUCCUGGCUCAGGAUGAACGCUGGCGGCGUGCUUAACACAUGCAAGUCGAGCGGAAAUAUGAAAUCUAAGAG